Molecule: ribosomal RNA, 449 nt
Filed under: Paecilomyces variotii
Lineage: Eukaryota; Fungi; Ascomycota; Eurotiomycetes; Eurotiales; Thermoascaceae
Description: partial large subunit ribosomal RNA
Rfam family: Eukaryotic large subunit ribosomal RNA
Source: RNAcentral
GGAUGCUUCGGGCGCGGUCCCCGUCUAAGUACCCCGGAACGGGUCGUCAUAGAGGGUGAGAAUCCCGUCUGGGACGGGUGGCCGUGUCCGUGUGAAGUUCCUUCGCCGAGUCGAGUUGUUUGGGAAUGCAGCUCUAAAUGGGUGGUAAAUUUCAUCUAAAGCUAAAUAUUGGCCGGAGACCGAUAGCGCACAAGUAGAGUGAUCGAAAGAUGAAAAGCACUUUGAAAAGAGAGUUAAACAGCACGUGAAAUUGUUGAAAGGGAAGCGCUUGCGACCAGACUCGCCCGCGGGGGUUCAGCCGGUACUCGUACCGGUGUACUCCCCCGGGGGCGGGCCAGCGUCGGUUUGGGCGGUCGGUCAAAGGCCUCCGGAAUGUGUCGCCCCCCGGGGCGUCUUAUAGCCGGAGGUGCAAUGCGGCCAGCCUGGACCGAGGAACGCGCUUCGGCUCG